CCUACGGGAGGCAGCAGUGAGGAAUAUUGGUCAAUGGGCGUAAGCCUGAACCAGCCAAGUCGCGUGAGGGAUGAAGGUUCUAUGGAUCGUAAACCUCUUUUAUAAGGGAAUAAAGUGUGGGACGUGUCCUAUUUUGUAUGUCCCUUAUGAAUAAGGAUCGGCUAACUCCGUGCCAGCAGCCGCGGUAAUCCGGAGGAUCCGAGCGUUAUCCGGAUUUAUUGGGUUUAAAGGGUGCGUAGGCGGCCUUUUAAGUCAGCGGUGAAAGUCUGUGGCUCAACCAUAGAAUUGCCGUUGAAACUGGGGGUCUUGAGUAUAUUGGAGGCAGGCGGAAUGAGUGGUGUAGCGGUGAAAUGCUUAGAUAUCACGCAGAACCCCGAUUGCGAAGGCAGCCUGCCAAGCCAUGACUGACGCUGAUGCACGAAAGCGUGGGGAUCAAACAGGAUUAGAUACCCCAGUAGUC
This 460-nucleotide ribosomal RNA is filed under the name uncultured bacterium. Its description in RNAcentral is "partial 16S ribosomal RNA". It matches the Rfam family "Bacterial small subunit ribosomal RNA", at positions 338 to 795 of the family's 1533-position model. The record is from RNAcentral.